GCAACUUCAUGCAUUUGAAGCCCAUUUCUAGAGAGCUGCGGCGGGAGCUGUAUGGGCGCCGUCGCAAGAAGUGAGUAUUCCUGUGCCUGUUGUUAAGCUCAGUGGCUUCUUUCUCCCCUCACAACCCCCCCUUCCAAAAAAAAUUUUUUGGCAUAGGUGUCGUUUCUGUUUUUUAAAAGGCAGUGCUUAGAACAUAGUACAUAUUUUUAAAUAUUCAAAUGUCCUCUUUGGAGAAGAAUAUUCACGUGCACACAGGUAACUUCAUUAUCCAGCUUCUCAAGUAGAGAUCAGAUCUUAGUAAUCAAGCAAGAGGGUGGUUAGCUGGGCAGCCGCGGACAUGAGGCUCGUGGAGAAAGUGGGCAUGCAGUUUAUUCUCGCAGAUAUUACAAAGAAGAAGAAUAGAUGUUGUCACCUCCUUUAGAUCAGGGAGGGCUUCCCUGGGACACAUUGGAAGAAGAAUUGUCUUGGGCCACACAUAAAAAUACGCUAAUGGUAGCUGAUAACUUCUUUUUUAAUUGCAAAAAAAAUCUCAUAAUGUUUUAAGCAAGUUGAUGAAUUUGUGUUGGGCCGCAGGUUGGACAAGCUUUUGCUUUACAUAUUUCACAUGUCCACUGGGGUUUCUUUUGGUUUUGUUUGUUGGUUUUAGGGCAUUUCAUUAUGUCUUGGGAUCGGUGGCAUCCUCCCUUCGGGACACUGGCAGAAUCAGGCCCAGCGGUCACAUCUCUCUGAUCCUACAUUUAAAUGUCCGACAGUCAGGUCACAGAGCAGAGAAAAUCAAGAUGUCAGAAUUGAACCGAUUGAGUUCUGAGUCUGGAGAGGUUCUCAUCCCUCUUCUGUUAAACACGGACUAGUAAAUAAAUGGGUGGUGAUUGUUUUAUUGUCAGCAUUAAAGAAGCAUAAAAGAAAAACAGGCCUGCUCUCCUCAGCCCAAAAACCUGAUGGACACAGUAGCUAUGAGCGCCUGAAGCGUGGGGUCAGUGAGGGUUGAAAAUGGUAUGUGUCCAGCUCAUUUUGAUUAUGAUUUCCUGUGAUCAUUUGAGUUGGUUCUAGAAGAAGACAGAAGAUUGAAGGUAUUACACCUGUUCACUUUUAAGUUGCACACUUUUUUCUCCUGAAACUUUUAACACCUGAAAUCAGGGUGCCUGUCAGUCACGGCGUGCAGUCUCUUCAGCAGUGUUUUUCUUUAUCAGUGCCGUUGGCUUGGGGAGAUGCGCGUGUUUAGAGUGUGGGUGUGGUUCUGUGCUGCCUGCUCUGGUUUGGAUGGCACGGUUUUGUUUCUUUUCCUUGGUUGCAGGCAUAGAUCAAGAUCCCGAUCCCGGGAGCGUCGUUCUCGGUCUAGAGACCGUGGUCGUGGCGGUGGCGGUGGCGGUGGUGGAGGCGGCGGCGGACGGGAGCGUGACAGGAGGCGGUCGAGAGAUCGUGAAAGAUCUGGGCGAUUCUGAGCCAUGCCAUUUUUACCUUAUGUCUGCUAGAAAGUGUUGUAGUUGAUUGACCAAACCAGUUCAUAAGGGGAAUUUUUUUUAAAAAACAACAAAAAAAAAAACAUACAAAGAUGGGUUUCUGAAUAAAAUUUGUAGUGAU
This 1581-nucleotide small RNA is filed under the name Pongo abelii (Sumatran orangutan). RNAcentral describes it as "retained intron". The record is from RNAcentral. Lineage: Eukaryota; Metazoa; Chordata; Mammalia; Primates; Hominidae.